Molecule: ribosomal RNA, 220 nt
Filed under: uncultured bacterium
Lineage: Bacteria
Description: partial 16S ribosomal RNA
Rfam family: Bacterial small subunit ribosomal RNA
Source: RNAcentral
GACGAACGCUGGCGACGUGCUUAACACAUGCAAGUCGAGCGGUAAGGCCCUUUCGGGGGUACACGAGCGGCGAACGGGUGAGUAACACGUGGGUGACCUGCCCUCAGCUCUGGGAUAAGCCGUGGGAAACCGGGGUCUAAUACUGGAUAUGACUCCAUGACGCGAUGUUGUGGGGUGGAAAGCCUUGUGCGGCUGAGGAUGGGCCCGCGGCCUAUCGAGC